RNA transcript from Piliocolobus tephrosceles (Ugandan red Colobus), 2392 nucleotides. RefSeq lists it as uncharacterized. The record is from RefSeq and is a predicted model, not a curated record. NCBI's taxonomy places the organism in Eukaryota, Metazoa, Chordata, Mammalia, Primates, Cercopithecidae. The transcript has 8 exons.
AUGGACGCUCCUCCUUUUACCUGCUGGGUGUCCUAUGUGAUAGAAGGGCUCGUGGAGGAGUUCAUGCUCUUGGCCAACAUGGCAGUGGCCCACAAGAUCCACCGCGCCUUCCCCGGGCAGGCCCUGCUGCGCCGGCACCCCCCACCCCAGACAAGGAUGCUCAGUGACCUGGUGGAAUUCUGCGACCAGAUGGGGCUGCCCGUGGACUUCAGCUCCGCAGGAGCCCUCAAUGACUGUGCCAAGCGGGGACCCCCAAGGCUGAGCUUCACCCGUGCAGGGCCUGAGCAUCCUGGGACCAGGACCCCAGAGGACCCUCGGGCCAGCGGGAGCAGUGGGUGCUGUACUGCGGAAGCUGCAGGGGGUCCACAGCCAGCCCUGGACACAGCCGAGAGGAGGACGCUGACCUCAGAGGGCCGCUUUCUGCUGCCCUGGGAGCUGGGCUAUAGAGAGCAACUAGACAUGGCGCCCGAUACCCUGCAGAAGCAGGCGGACCACUGCAACGACCGCCGCAUGGCGUCCAAGCGCGUGCAAGAGCUCUGCACUGGUCUCUUCUUUGCCGUUCUGGUCAAGGAGAGUGGCCCCCUGGAGUCAGAAGCCAUGGUGAUGGGCGUCCUGAACCAAGCUUUCAACGUGCUGGUGCUGCGCUACGGCGUGCAGAAGCGCAUCUACUGCAACGUCAUCAGCAUCAUCAGCCUGGUGGAGGUGGUCCUGUGGGCGGCUGUGACCCUCAAGUAUAGAGCUGUCCUGAAGCAGCCGAGCAACCAGGGCCACCUGGGCCCCGAGGAAGAGGAGGAGGAGAAGGUCGACCCCCUCAACCUGGCUCAUCAUCAGAGCAGACUGUUGAUUAGCUGCAGGCGAAUAUGAAGAGGCGAUUUCCUGUCACAGAAAGGUCGUGGUGUGUCUUUCUGAAGCUACGGAGCUGAGCAGGCUGACCUUCCGCUGGAACUACAAAGGUACAGCCACGUGAAACCGCGCCGCCUUGCCCAGGAGACGCGGACAAGGGCCCAGUAGAACGCAGACAAGGAUGGGGCUGCCCAUCUUCAGGCCUCUCACAGCCCCUCUGCGGAAGACGCAGAAGCACAGCCCUCCACAGAGGAACGCCCGCCCAAGACUCAGGGCGUCUGUGACAGGGAUCCAGACACACGACUGUUUUUACUUCGGCAAAAGACUGAGCCAGCAGAGCCGUGUAUUGGAAGCAAAGCCCCAAAACACGAUGAACACCUGUAGAGGAGCAGGCAACCCAGUUGCAGAUUUGAAGAGGCAUGUGGAAUCCCUUGUGGCAGAGAAGGAAAGAUUAAGGAAAGAAAGUGUAAACAGGUAAAGGCUGAAAAGCCAGACUUCUAAAAGGUCCAGUAGAAAAGGAGCUGAAUGUGGGUGCUGAUUUUGUAGAAAAGUCAGUAACGGAGCGUGCCUCUGCAUUCGGAAACUGCUACACCCUCUUCAACCUUGCAGAGGUUUGCAGCAGAUGCCAGGAAAGUCAAGUACGUUCCAGUACCCGAUCUUCUCCCUCGGAUUUUCCAUCUCCAGAGCGUCCCCUUACCGAGCUCUCUCAGGAUAUUCUGAAAGGAUUUAUGAGUAAUUAAAAUGGAAGGCCAUAGAAGAAGGGAGAAGAGGAAAUAAUACUAAUACGGUUAAUGCAGCAACAAAGAAUGAAAAGGGAAAGCCACAGGCGAGGGUAAUCCUGGAAAUGCCUCAUCAUCUGGCGUACUGUGGGAGAAGAGGCAUUGCCAGGAAGUGGGGAACAGUCACUGUGAAGCAUGUUGCAUAUCUGAUUCACUGACUUGAGCUAAUGAUGCUGACCUGGCAGGCACUAAACUCAUAGAGGGUCAGUUUCUUCCGAUAUCAACCAAAUGGCUUCCUGGAAGAUUUUUUUCAAGCAACAAAUUAUUUUUCUUAUCUUCAGGGUUAAGAUGUUUGAAAGUAUGUUAUGUGUAGUUAAUCUAUAAUGCCGUAAAUGAUCAUGCAAAACCUAAAUAUUAAAAUGACGGCCUGAGGGGCUGCUUCAUAUUUGAAACAUACUUUGUCUCAGGCAUUGAUGUAUGCAUUUUGUUAAUGAUGUUGUGUUUAAGGUGUGUAAGACACUCCUUUCUAGAUGAAACCAUAUGUGCCACACUGUGCACUACUCAUAACAAUGAUAACCUCAAGACUUAUCAGGAGAAAUGUUUAAAGUUCCGUGUUAUAAAGAAACCAAAUUAUUAGUUAUGCUUCUUAACACCAAUUACCAGUUUACAUAAUUAAUAAGGGUGCAUUUUAAGUUCUAACUCUGUUUAUUGCAUAAUGCAUCAUUUGAAAAUACCAAGGAAGUCUGUUCUUUGUUUUUAAUGAUCCGUGAAUGGAAGGAAUGCUAGUUGGCAGUAUUCGAUUGUAAGAAAUCAAUAAAGUAAUUGUAUUU